GUUGGUUCAAUGCUUUUCCAGGGCAGCCCAUGUGCAGAGUCCCGAUGAAGAGCUCUCGCAUGGGAGAACGCCCUGUGAUUAUUUUGCCCCGUGCAAGCAAAUUUGCUUAUGACUUGUCUCCAUCAGUGGGAUACCAGAGAAACUGUAUUGUGCAUGUGUUUGUGGGCUGCUUGAGGAAUUGUGUGUGAAUGCAGUGAGCUGUGUGUGGUGUGGUGUUUUGUAAAUCUUUGAUCUCC
This is a non-coding RNA of Pelobates cultripes (western spadefoot toad), 236 nucleotides long. The record is from the annotation of a GenBank genome assembly. NCBI's taxonomy places the organism in Eukaryota, Metazoa, Chordata, Amphibia, Anura, Pelobatidae.